This 90-nucleotide transfer RNA is filed under the name Aliivibrio sp. RNAcentral's name for it is "tRNA-OTHER". Lineage: Bacteria; Pseudomonadati; Pseudomonadota; Gammaproteobacteria; Vibrionales; Vibrionaceae. RNAcentral also lists the same sequence under 1 other name. The record is from RNAcentral.
GGGCGUGAAAUGGUUAGUCAAGGCAGUGUCUUAGUAAGUCUAGACCGGCAAUGUCACCUUGAAACGCAGGUUCGAUUCCUGCCACGUCCA